ACUCCGUGAAGCUGGAUUCGCUAGUAAUCGCGCAUCAGCCAUGGCGCGGUGAAUACGUUCCCGGGCCUUGUACACACCGCCCGUCAAGCCAUGGGAGCCGGGGGUGCUUGAAGUGCGUCGCCGCAAGGCGCGCCCUAGAGCAAAACCGGUGACUGGGGCUAAGUCGUAACAAGGUAAC
This 178-nucleotide ribosomal RNA is filed under the name uncultured bacterium. RNAcentral's name for it is "partial 16S ribosomal RNA". It matches the Rfam family "Bacterial small subunit ribosomal RNA", at positions 1315 to 1500 of the family's 1533-position model. The record is from RNAcentral.